This 494-nucleotide long non-coding RNA is filed under the name Numida meleagris (helmeted guineafowl). RNAcentral describes it as "lncRNA (ENSNMEG00000019135.1)". Lineage: Eukaryota; Metazoa; Chordata; Aves; Galliformes; Numididae. The record is from RNAcentral.
AUGGAUGGAUUUAAACACAAUUUCUAUGGUUACAUAGUCUGCUUCACUGAUGAUCAGAUUACUGGGAAGAGAAGUACUUCUUUAUCAAGAAGCUGUUUGGUUGGAUAUAGGCUUCAUGGAAAAAAGAAACAGCUGGCUGUAAGCUGUCUUGAGCUCAAGAAGAUUUUGUAAAUGCCAACAAGGUUUUCCUAACUGAAGAGUCUGACAAAUGCACACAGUGAGAGACUGGGUCCCUCAACCACUGUUAGCUGUCAAAAAAGAACAAAACGUUCCCAAAUAGAAACUGCUUGGACUGAGCGGAUGGCUGCAGUAACAGCAGCCAGGAAACAAAGAACUCUGUUCCAAUAAUCAGAAGUGACCAUGUAACAAGAGAAACAGAAUUGUGCAUAAACUCAGAGGGUACUUUGAGAUUAUGUCAACAGUUGGCUAAUUUAUUACAUACUUUUUUUUUUCAGUAUCAAUGUGACUGUAGAAGUAGCUAUAUUAAAUAAUUC